GCGAAUGUAGGUUAAUUUUUUAAACUAAUAGUUUUCAAAACUAUAGAUUUUGAUUCGAG
This 59-nucleotide transfer RNA is filed under the name Aspiculuris sp. PC-2022. RNAcentral's name for it is "tRNA-Trp". It matches the Rfam family "tRNA", at positions 1 to 57 of the family's 71-position model. From Rfam's summary of the family: Transfer RNA (tRNA) molecules are approximately 80 nucleotides in length. Their secondary structure includes four short double-helical elements and three loops (D, anti-codon, and T loops). The record is from RNAcentral. Lineage: Eukaryota; Metazoa; Nematoda; Chromadorea; Rhabditida; Heteroxynematidae.